RNAcentral lists this unclassified non-coding RNA (417 nucleotides) under soil metagenome. Its description in RNAcentral is "partial contains 5.8S ribosomal RNA, internal transcribed spacer 2, and large subunit ribosomal RNA". The stretch from base 1 to 120 matches the Rfam family "5.8S ribosomal RNA", at positions 35 to 154 of the family's 154-position model. The record is from RNAcentral.
GAUGAAGAACGUAGCGAAAUGCGAUAAGUAAUGUGAAUUGCAGAAUUCAGUGAAUCAUCGAAUCUUUGAACGCAUCUUGCGCUCCUUGGUAUUCCUUGGAGCAUGCCUGUUUGAGUAUCAUGAGCAAAUCUCAAAGUCAAUUCCUUUUGUUGAUUCAAUUGGUUUUGCUUUGGACUUGGAGGCCUUGCAGAUUUCACAGUCUGCUCCUCUUAAAUGCAUUAGCUGGAUCUCAGUAAUUAUGCUUGGUUCCACUCGGCGUGAUAAGUAUCACUCGCUGAGGACACUGUUAAAAAGGUGGCCAGGAAAAUACUGAUUGAACCGCUUCUAACGGUCUAUUAAGUUAGACAAUUACCCUUAAGUUUGAUCUCAAAUCAGGUAGGACUACCCGCUGAACUUAAGCAUAUCAAUAAGCGGAGG